AGCGAACGCUGGCGGCAGGCUUAACACAUGCAAGUCGAGCGGACCUUUCGGGGUCAGCGGCGGACGGGUGAGUAACGCGUGGGAACGUGCCUUCCGGUUCGGAAUAACCCUGGGAAACUAGGGCUAAUACCGGAUACGCCCUUAUGGGGAAAGGUUUACUGCCGGAAGAUCGGCCCGCGUCUGAUUAGCUAGUUGGUGGGGUAACGGCCUACCAAGGCGACGAUCAGUAGCUGGUCUGAGAGGAUGAUCAGCCACACUGGGACUGAGACACGGCCCAGACUCCUCCGGGAGGCAGCAGUGGGGAAUAUUGGACAUUGGGCGCAAGCCUGAUCCAGCCAUGCCGCGUGAGUGAUGAAGGCCUUAGGGUUGUAAAGCUCUUUUAUCCGGGACGUUAAUGACGGUACCGGAGGAAUAAGCCCCGGCUAACUUCGU
Molecule: ribosomal RNA, 432 nt
Filed under: uncultured bacterium
Lineage: Bacteria
Description: partial 16S ribosomal RNA
Rfam family: Bacterial small subunit ribosomal RNA
Source: RNAcentral